RNAcentral lists this long non-coding RNA (284 nucleotides) under Monodelphis domestica (gray short-tailed opossum). RNAcentral describes it as "lncRNA (ENSMODG00000040528.1)". The record is from RNAcentral. Lineage: Eukaryota; Metazoa; Chordata; Mammalia; Didelphimorphia; Didelphidae.
AAAUUGUCUACCCCUGCCCUGUGGGGCAGUGUCUGUGGGUUCCACUUCUCAUCCUCUGAGGGUGUAAACUCUUAUCAAAGGACUCACAAGUUUCUAACUGAGUUAAAAGAGUGGACCUCUCCAAGGUCCCACAGGUGACACUGACUACUUGCAUAGCUGGCCUGAGUCUGAACUUGACCAAGAGCUGGAAGGCGGAACAGCUGCUCCAUCAUAUACUGGGAAACAACUAGUUUUACUGAAAAACUAGGAAGUUCUUGGGUCUGGAGAAAUACCUGGGAGGAGAU